AACAGAGUCUCUGCUCUGCAAUUUGCUCUCCGCAAAUUAGGCUUGAUCAAGUUACCUAAAUUUACUAAACCCAAGCCCCAGUAGAUCAUCUGUGAAAUAGAGAUAAUAGCAUCUACUUCUCAUAGCUGACAUGAAGAUUAGAGGCACUUACUUUUAUAAAGUGCUUAGCACAAUGACUGGAAAAGAGCAAAUGCCCAAUAAAUAGUAGUUAUUAUUCCAUUACUGCUACUGCUGCUAUUACCACCAUUACCAUUCCUACUAUUGCAGUUGUUUUUGCCUUUAGUUAAGACACUUUUUGAAAUUCUCAGUGAUAUCUUUUCCUGAGAGCGUGCUUGAUUAUUAAAAACAACUGAAAAAUAUGUUGAUUCAAUUCUUUUAAAAGGAGUGAUUAAAUUUUUGAUACUAUUCUGGUCAUUUGAUUAUAAAACAAUGUUCAGGUCAUUGACUUUGAAAAUAUGUUCAAGGAUGAGUUGAAAAGUGUUUGGAGGAAUAUCAGCAUCAUAAAGUAGGUUUAGGAUGACUGUGUAAUUAACUAUCCAAUAACUUUUACAGUGAAAAAGGCAUUAUUAAUAAUUAUGCUGAGAAUAGAGGGAUAAACAAGGCUAUCCCCUGGUGAAGUCCCUUCUGCCCACGGAGUUAUUUUAAUUAUUUUAUCCUAAGUGAGAAGCAAGGACUUGGGUUGCAGAAAAUCCAAGGCCAAGCAUCAAAUAUUAUAUCAAUGACAUAUAAACAUUGAAUAAUAUAUUAUUUAACAUAAAAUAACCCCAACCCAAAUCAGUCAUUAUCUUUUGGAUAAAGCUAAAUUUACCUUUGCUAGGUUUCAUGAUGUGUGUGACAUAUGUAAACAAAACCCAUUAAACUGGCAACAGUCAGAUACAUAUUCACUGAAAUUUAAUUUUGAUGAGGGAGAAGAGUAGUUUGGAUCAUUUUCCAAAUAUGGUAAGGACAAAGUAGCUCAUAUGUUAAGUUACAGUAUGACUAGCUGCCAAUAAGCUUUUGUGAGCUAUUGAAACAACAGAAAAAUUUCAGAAUUUUCAUUACUAUUUGCAUAAAGAAGACGCCUGUCAAGUAAAAGGUGAUAUUGCAUGUUCUCUGGAAGAAAUAAAAUGACAGGUAUGAAAAUACAAAAUAAACACAGUGUUGAAAGGUUGUUAUCACUAUUGGGGAGAUCCCAAAGAAGCACCCUCUUUUCUCUUUGACAUCUAUUUCAUAUGCCUUUCACACCUUUUCCAAGAAAGGUGACACAGAGAUUGUUUCUCCUGUUUGCUUAGUUGGCAAUCAGUAGUCUGCACUACGACAGGGAAACGAAAUGCAAGCAAAGUGCUCUAUCUGCUAAAGGAACACAUUUCUGAGAGUAUUCACCUGCUGAGAAUCUCACAUAUAUUUAAUAAGUUGGAGAUGUAAGUCUCCUAUUUUUAAAAUUAUUAUCUUCAACUUUAUUGCAUGCUUAUUACGUGCUUACUGUGGGUAGAAUACUUGGCUAGGUACUGAGAUUGCAAAAGUUUGUAAAGCAGAGUUCCUUCCGGAAAGAUGUGGUGGCUUUAAAUACGAUGUAUCAUUACAUUCGCCCAGCAAUUAAGAACAGCUUCACCAAAGAAAGACCCAGUCUGUGCUGCCAGAGUUAAAUAGACUCAGAGUUUAUACCUUUUUUUUUCCCUUGCUUUUCCAAGUCCUAGUCCUUGACUCCUUUUCUAGACUCAAGUCCAGGAUUUUGGUUCCUGUCAUUUUACAACUUUGUCCUCACAUCUUUAUCUAGAGUAGUCUCAUGAAUUAUAUACUCAUGAACACAUCAUGAAUUGCUCUUGAUGUGUUCAAUUGCUCCAGAAUCCACUUAGAAUCUACUUGGACAGGAGGCUGGCAUUUCUAGGAAGGCAAUGUUACUGAGAGAUGCAGAAUAUCACAAAAAUAAACUUGUCAGAAAUGUUUGGAAAUACACAUAAAGUCUGGAUAAAUAUGACAUUCAUUCAAAAACAUUUAUUGAUCAUCUACAAUGCACUCAGCAUUCGUGAAAAUGCUUUUGCUAGCAAUCAAAGAGCAAUAACUUUACUACUCUCAUGCUGCUUAUAUUCCAUCGUAUGCAUAGAAAACAGACAAUGGAUGGUAUGUGUCAUUAUAUGUAACAUCCGAUAAGGUGUUAUUUGUGCAGAGUCAAGAAGGAAAUAAAGGGCUGAGGAUAGAUGAGGGAAGAGAAUUCCAGAUAAAGAAAACUCCACCUGCAAAGGCCCCAGGUUGAGUGUCCUUGGAGUUUCCAAAGAAUGCUAAGUGGGGUUAGAACUCAAUGAAUAAUAAGGAGAGUUUAAAGAAAUAGGAUGGGAGAGGUUGGCAGAGGCAGAUGAGGAGAUUCAUUAGACCAUGUUGAGGAUUUUGGACCUUACUGUGUGAGAUGCAAAGCCAUUGAGAGUGCACAGCCAAAGAGUAACAUGGUCUGAUUUCCAUUUUAAAGAUUUACGCCAGUUUCUGUGUGGAGUAUAAGCCACAAGGAAGACACACGUGGAGACCAGGACACCAGUCCUGAAGCUAUCGGAAUAUAUCAUGUGAGAGAGGUGAGGGCUUGGACUAGGUGGAAAUGAUAAAUAUGGGGAGAAGAAUUCGAAUCUUGGAGGUGUUUUAAAGGUAGAGUUCACGAGAUUUGUAGAUGUGCAGAUGUAUGGGCUGUGGGCAUUAAGAGUAAAGAUUAAGAUUGAUUCUAAGUAUUUGGGCUUGAACAAUGGUAAAAAUCAAGUUGUCAUUUAUUAAGAUGGAAAGGACUACAGAAGAAGAAGCAGGGGUGUGUGUGUGUGUGUGUGUGCGUGUCUGUGCAUAGGUGUGAUCCAGAGUCUGGUUUCGGACAUGCUGAGUUUAGAAUUCUAAUUAGACAGCCAAGUCAAGAGUUUGAGUAGAAAGAGCUCACAUAAAAGGUCAGUGCUGGAGUGUGUAUUUUGAAGUCACUAGCUUCAAAACAACAUUUAAAUCUCAGUAUAUAGAUGAUAUCACCUUGAAGUGAGUGACGAUGGCAGAUUUAGGCUCUGAGCUUAGGGAGCAUUCGAAGAUUAAGAAAGUAAUAAAAUGAGGACACAGCAGGAGUGUGAUUGAGAAGUGGGCAGUGAAGUAGGCAUAAGAAACAUGAGAAAAUCACAUCCUGUGGCAGAGUGAAGGACAUUUUUCAAGAAGUAGGGAGAAACCACUUGUAUCAAAGUACUGCUUAGGGAUCUGGUAAGAUAAGGUCCCUGGCAUGGUCACUGGAUGUGGCAACAUGAUGGUCACGGCUGAGUGUGACAAGGGCAUUUCCAGUUGGGUGGCCGAGACAUAGACUUGCUAAGAGGAAUCAGAUUCAGCAAAGUCCUGGAAGAAGCUAAGGAAUGAUUUCAAGAACAACAUGAAAUGAUUGGCUUAUAUUUGUGGAGUGCUUAGGAUAUCUAGAUAUUUCUCCAAGGUCUUUCUAUCCAUUACAUUUCUGUGAGGAAGGUACAAGUAUUAGUCACAAUUUAUAGGCAAGAAGACUGAGCUAACAGAAAAGCUAAGUAACUUGAAGAACACACAGUAAGUAGUGAAGCCAGGAUUUGCAACCCAAGGAGUCUGGUUACAGAAAUCUGGCUCUUAAUCUGUAUGUUAUGUGAGAAGAACCAUUCCAAUCAGUUCCAUAAUUUCCUAACACUAAGACUGCAAAAAUUAAACGUGCCAUUUCAUAGGAAUAACUUUGAUGAGAGUACAUUCUAGUUUAGAUGAAGGCACUAGCAAACAUUUCAGAUCUUAUGGCCUCAUGCCUUCUCCUUUGAAAGUAAAACAUUUCCAGUUUAUAUUAAGUAGGGAAGAAGAUGAGAAAAUACACUGAAAAUAUGUGUCAUGUGAUUACUAUGUACCAGGCACAGCAGCUGCAAAGUCAUUGUUCUCCCAAAAAUUAUAGUCUCAAAAAACAAAGUCAGAGUUCUUGUUGUGGCUCAGCAUGUUAAGAACCCAACUAGUAUCAACUAGUAUCCAUGAGGAUGCAGGUUUGAUCCCUGGCUUCACUCAGUGGGCAUUACUGCAAGGUGCAGUGUAGGUCACAGAUGCAGCUUGGAUCUGGCAUUGCUUCGGCUGUAGCAUAAGCCUUAGCUGCAGCUACGACUCAAUUGUUCGCCUGGGAACUUCCACCGUAUGCCUCAGGUGUGGCCCCAAACAAACAAACAAACAAACAAAAACAACAAAGGCCAAUUAAAAGGUGCAAAACAAUGUGAUAUUUUGGUAAACCUUGUAUUAGAGCAGGCACAAGAGCAAUAGAAACACCAAGCAAUAGAAACACUUGUUUCCCUAGACUCAGAGCCUAGGGAAACAAGUAUUGUUUAAGUUGAGAUAUGAGGAAUUUAUUAGAUAAAUACUCAGUAAAUUGCUCAGUGGGUAAUUUUAUGGAGGUAUAUAUAGAUUGGGGUUGGCAGACUAGGAUUAUGGGUCAGAUCUGGCUCUCUACCUUUUUUUGGUCAAUAAAGUUUUAUUGGAAGAUAACCAUGGGUCAUUUUUGUACAUAUGGCUGUUUUCUCACUAGAGUGGCAGAGCUUAGUGGCUGUAUUAAUUGCAAAGUAGAAAAUAUUUACUAUUUAGCCAUUUAUUGAUGGGUUUUCCAACCCUUUCUAUAUAUGACCUACUGGAUUGCAUGCAUAAAGUUACUUAUCAUUAAAAUAAAUUUUUUAAGGUACAUUUGUAAAGAUUUGUCAUUUAAUUGAAUAAUGUUUAAAAUUAUUUUGAAUUAGCUUCUCUAAUUAAAAUUAUUUGAAAAAAAUGUAAAAAGGUCUGGAAACACUGCCCUAGCUUUUUUUUUUUUUUUCCACCCCGCCAUGCCCUCAGCAUGUAGAAGUUCCCAGGUCAGGGAUCAAACCUACAGCAUAGCAGCCACUUGAGCCACUGCUGUGACAAAGCUGGAUCCUUAAUUUGCUGUACCAUAGGGAACUCCCUGGACUAGAUUUUUAUAAUGCAAUCAGUGACUUAUUUGUGUGGCCCCUUUAAGAUGGGGCACAAGCCCUCCAGAUCAUCAAGGUCUUUUAUACUCCUUGUUUUUCUCACUCUUGGAUCCUUGUCACUUAUUUAUGUUACUUUUCUGGACUCUCUGGGAACUUGAGUGUUGACGCUUGGAAAAUGAAUGUAAGAUGAAGUGUGUCUUUUUAAGCAAAGAUUGGUGCAUACAAUCAAUGGGAGUUCAAAGAUUAAAAUUUAGUCCAUUGGCAAAGGCCUUGACUCAUGUAAAUGAAUUUUUAAACGUUGAACUCUCAUCAGAUUUAUUUUUUGUCUCAGCAUAACAGAGACCAAGAUUGGAGCUUCCUAUUUAAGAACAAAGGAAACUCAGGUGUUUACAAGGAAGGAAAGAGAGAGAUUUUACUGGACUCCAAAUUUGUGGAAAUAGGAGAAGUGAAAGUGAAACAACACGAUAGAAAUUAGUCAAGAACAUGUCUAACCCAGUUUUACUUGAAUAAAACAUGAAUUAAUAUUACAGUUCUCAUGACCAGUAUUUUCUUUGUAAUGUUACCCUUGUCUAUCAUAUAGUCUCCUCUAUAUUUCCUUCUGGUUAUUUCAGAGAGAGAAGAGUAGAGAAGGCACAGGAAAAUAGCAUUCCUUUCUGCAAUGAACCUAGAGAAAUUGUCCAGCUGGUGGAGAAGGAAGCAGAAAGAUGCAGGUCAAAGGAACGGGAUGUUAGAAGUCAGCGUCGGGGGGUCCAUCAUGGCAGGAGGCUCUGUGUGGGGUUGCACAUGAUCAACAGUAAGAGUAAUAUUUUUCUGAUUCCAUGCCGGAGCUGGGCUCCUUAGUAUCUCUUCUGUGGAGGCUGAGAGGUCCCAGAAUGUGGGCUGAGGGUUAAAUGAUCCCAGCUGUGAAGAUUACAGAGCAGCAGGACUUUGUGCUUAUACUUUUCAGAGCCAAAUGUUUGGCAUUUCAAUUGCAUCAACUGAAGUUUAGCAGAAAAUGCAAUUCUUCCAUCAAAUAUAAUACAAGUAAGUGGAUAUCCUUUGAUAUCUCUACAUUGUAAUUUCAAGUAGUAGAUUGAGAAACAAGUUGCCAGUUGCCAGGAUUUCUUUUGAGCCCAAAAAUGUGAAUUAAUUCUUUUUUUUUUUUUUUGAAAAUGUACAACAGAAGAAAGGGUGGGGGAAAAAUGUAAUUGUAAUGUAUACAUGUAAGGAUAACCUGACCCCCUUGCUGUACA
Molecule: long non-coding RNA, 6142 nt
Filed under: Sus scrofa (pig)
Lineage: Eukaryota; Metazoa; Chordata; Mammalia; Artiodactyla; Suidae
Description: lncRNA (ENSSSCG00000063213.1)
Source: RNAcentral